This 1482-nucleotide long non-coding RNA is filed under the name Homo sapiens (human). RNAcentral describes it as "long intergenic non-protein coding RNA 964". Lineage: Eukaryota; Metazoa; Chordata; Mammalia; Primates; Hominidae. The record is from RNAcentral.
GCUCCAGCCAAUGAAAUGUAAGCAGAAGUGACAUAUGCAGCAUGACCAGUGGAAGCUUCGAAGAGCUAUUGCCAAUUUCCACCCUCUCUCUGGAAACUGUCAUUAGGGUUAGGGAAACUGUCAUGAGAUCUGCAUAUUUUAGAUAGAGGCUGCUUGCCUUAUUUGGGCACCUAAUGAAAAAGACAUGGAGGCCAGGUGCGGUGGCUCAUGUCUGUAAUCCCAGCACUUUGGGAGGCCAAGGCGAGUGGAUCACCUGAGGUCAGGAGUUCGAGACCAGCCUGACCAACAUGGCAAAACCCCGUCUGUACUAAAAGUGCAAACACAAAGGGAACUGCGUGGCUUGUUUCUACCUGAACAUUGUCAAGUGAUUUCAUCCUUUGAAACACAGUUGUGAAGUGUGUCCAGCAGUCUGAGAACAAGAAGAAGAAGAAAAUCUAAUCCUUCAGGGUGUCUGUGUGCCAGCCCUGCUCUCAGCACUUCCCAUGUGGAACUCCUUUACUUCUCCUAACAACUCCAUGACAUGGGUUAGACUGUGAUUGUUCCCAUAUUGUUGGUAGGGAAACUGAGGCAUGCAGGUGUUACAGAGCUCUCUCAAGUGGCAAGCUUUCUGGGUGGUUACAGAGUGGCAGAGCUGGGGUAUCCCAUGAUGUCACCACACUGCUAUAUGGAAAAGAACAUUAAUCGAGCACCUACGUGCUUGAUUCUCUUAAUUCUGUGACUGAACUCUCAAAACACCCUGGGUAAGCACUAUCAUCUCCUAUUUUCACAAGUGAAAAAACUGGGAUUCAAAAAAAUUAAGUGACUUACCAAAUAUUACAGAGCUAGUAAGCCAAGACUUGAACACUGAGAUGGAAUUCUACCUUUUAAGGUGGCUAAGCAACAGAAGGAUGUUCCUUUCCCAAGGGGAGCACUGCGUGUUUUGAAAUAUACAAAUAGUGGGAAACGAAAUCUUUGUUCUGGAUGCAGUUAUAAUUUGGAAAGCGAGGAAAUAAAUUAUAACAAGGGGAAAAAACAGACACAGAGGGAUUGAAAUGCAUAACAAUAGAGAUGAAACACGAAGAGUGAUAAAUGAAGAUUGAGUGUGCACACCUUCUGGAGGAGCCCUGAUUGAGUAUUUUAAAAUACUACUAAAGUCAUGCCGUGUGACUUCUGAAGCUAGCUCCUAAGAAGUCCUUGCAGCUUCUGCCUGCGACUCUUAGAACACUUGCUUUGAAGGAUGCCAGAUGCUGUCUUAAAAGUCUGAGCACUCUGAAACCAUCAUGCUGUGAGGAAGCCCAAGCUAACCACAUGGGCAAAAAAGAUGCCCUCUGACUGCCACCAUUUGAGACACUCUAAUUAAGAACUGCCUCAUUGAGCCCAUGAGGCCCUGUGAAUGAUAAUAAUAAAUUGUUUUUAACCACUAUGUUUUUGGAUUUGUUAUAAGUUUAUAGAUAACAAGAAAAAGUUAUAUUAGCAUGGUAAUAAAAUUAUGGAUAUGUGUAA